This 497-nucleotide ribosomal RNA is filed under the name uncultured bacterium. RNAcentral's name for it is "partial 16S ribosomal RNA". It matches the Rfam family "Bacterial small subunit ribosomal RNA", at positions 28 to 507 of the family's 1533-position model. The record is from RNAcentral.
GAUGAACGCUGGCGGCGUGCCUAAUACAUGCAAGUCGAGCGAACGGACGAGAAGCUUGCUUCUCUGAUGUUAGCGGCGGACGGGUGAGUAACACGUGGAUAACCUACCUAUAAGACUGGGAUAACUUCGGGAAACCGGAGCUAAUACCGGAUAAUAUUUUGAACCGCAUGGUUCAAAAGUGAAAGACGGUCUUGCUGUCACUUAUAGAUGGAUCCGCGCUGCAUUAGCUAGUUGGUAAGGUAACGGCUUACCAAGGCAACGAUGCAUAGCCGACCCGAGAGGGUGAUCGGCCACACUGGAACUGAGACACGGUCCAGACUCCUACGGGAGGCAGCAGUAGGGAAUCUUCCGCAAUGGGCGAAAGCCUGACGGAGCAACGCCGCGUGAGUGAUGAAGGUCUUCGGAUCGUAAAACUCUGUUAUUAGGGAAGAACAUAUGUGUAAGUAACUGUGCACAUCUUGACGGCACCUAAUCAGAAAGCCACGGCUAACUACGUG